CUUCCUACGGGACGCAGCAGUGGGGGAUAUUGCACAAUGGGGGGAACCCUGAUGCAGCGACGCCGCGUGGAGGAUGAAGGUUUUCGGAUUGUAAACUCCUUUUGUUAGAGAAGAUAAUGACGGUAUCUAACGAAUAAGCACCGGCUAACUCCGUGCCAGCAGCCGCGGUAAUACGGAGGGUGCAAGCGUUAUCCGGAUUUACUGGGUGUAAAGGGAGCGUAGGCGGCAGGG
RNAcentral lists this ribosomal RNA (231 nucleotides) under uncultured bacterium. RNAcentral describes it as "partial 16S ribosomal RNA". It matches the Rfam family "Bacterial small subunit ribosomal RNA", at positions 335 to 583 of the family's 1533-position model. The record is from RNAcentral.